CAACCCAGUUUCUCGCGGCAGUGAGUCGAUAGCGCCCUUUCGGCGUAUCUAGAAAAUUUUCGAAAGGGCCAUCGCCUAUAUCUGCCCAAAGAAACUGGGAAUA
This 103-nucleotide microRNA precursor is filed under the name Oikopleura dioica. RNAcentral's name for it is "microRNA odi-mir-1483 precursor". The record is from miRBase by way of RNAcentral. Lineage: Eukaryota; Metazoa; Chordata; Appendicularia; Copelata; Oikopleuridae.